AUACGUAGGGUGCAAGCGUUAAUCGGAAUUACUGGGCGUAAAGCGUGCGCAGGCGGUUUUGUAAGACAGAGGUGAAAUCCCCGGGCUCAACCUGGGAACUGCCUUUGUGACUGCAGGGCUAGAGUACGGCAGAGGGGGAUGGAAUUCCGCGUGUAGCCGUGAAAUGCGUAGAUAUGCGGAGGAACACCGAUGGCGAAGGCAAUCCCCUGGGCCUGUACUGACGCUCAUGCACGAAAGCGUGGGGAGCAAACAGGAUUAGAUACCCUGGUAGUCCACGCCCUAAACGAUGUCAACUGGUUGUUGGGUCUUCAUUGACUCAGUAACGAAGCUAACGCGUGAAGUUGACCGCCUGGGGAGUACGGCCGCAAGGUUGAAACUUAAAGGAAUUGACGGGG
Molecule: ribosomal RNA, 395 nt
Filed under: uncultured bacterium
Lineage: Bacteria
Description: partial 16S ribosomal RNA
Rfam family: Bacterial small subunit ribosomal RNA
Source: RNAcentral